RNAcentral lists this ribosomal RNA (422 nucleotides) under uncultured bacterium. Its description in RNAcentral is "bacterial SSU rRNA". It matches the Rfam family "Bacterial small subunit ribosomal RNA", at positions 355 to 774 of the family's 1533-position model. The record is from RNAcentral.
UAAGGAAUAUUGGAUAAUGGUCGCAAGACUGAUCCAGCCAUGCCGCGUGCAGGAAGACGGCCCUAUGGGUUGUAAACUGCUUUUGUACCAGAGAAAACCUAUCUACGUGUAGAUAGCUGAUAGUAUGGUAAGAAUAAGCAUCGGCUAACUUCGUGCCAGCAGCCGCGGUAAGACGAAGGAUGCAAGCGUUAUCCGGAUUCAUUGGGUUUAAAGGGUGCGUAGGCGGGCUUGUAAGUCAGUGGUGAAAUCUCUCAGCUUAACUUAGAAACUGCCAUUGAUACUGCAGGCCUAGAGUAUAGAUGACGUUGGCGGAAUAUGACAUGUAGUGGUGAAAUACUUAGAUAUGUCAUAGAACACCGAUUGCGAAGGCAGCUAACGAAACUAUAACUGACGCUGAGGCACGAAAGUGCGGGGAUCAAACA